UACAGAGGGUGCAAGCGUUGUUCGGAAUCAUUGGGCGUAAAGGGCGUGUAGGCGGUUUGUUAAGUCAUGUGUGAAAUCCCUCGGCUCAACCGGGGAACGACGCUUGAAACUGGCAAGCUAGAGUACCAAAGAGGGCGGUGGAAUUCCCGGUGUAGUGGUGGAAUGCGUAGAUAUCAGGAGGAACACCAGUGGCGAAGGCGGUUGCCUGGAGCUUUGCUGACGCUGAUGCGCGAAAGCGUGGGGAGCGAUCCGG
This 253-nucleotide ribosomal RNA is filed under the name uncultured bacterium. Its description in RNAcentral is "partial 16S ribosomal RNA". It matches the Rfam family "Bacterial small subunit ribosomal RNA", at positions 524 to 776 of the family's 1533-position model. The record is from RNAcentral.